RNAcentral lists this ribosomal RNA (528 nucleotides) under Sordariomycetes sp. genotype 9. RNAcentral's name for it is "eukaryotic LSU rRNA". It matches the Rfam family "Eukaryotic large subunit ribosomal RNA", at positions 49 to 589 of the family's 3401-position model. Lineage: Eukaryota; Fungi; Ascomycota; Sordariomycetes. The record is from RNAcentral.
AGCGGAGGAAAAGAAACCAACAGGGAUUGCCCCAGUAACGGCGAGUGAAGCGGCAACAGCUCAAAUUUGAAAUCUGGCUUCGGCCCGAGUUGUAAUUUGUAGAGGAUGCUUUUGGUGAGGUGCCUUCUGAGUUCCCUGGAACGGGACGCCAGAGAGGGUGAGAGCCCCGUAUAGUUGGACACCGAGCCUCUGUAAAGCUCCUUCGACGAGUCGAGUAGUUUGGGAAUGCUGCUCAAAAUGGGAGGUAUAUCUCUUCUAAAGCUAAAUACUGGCCAGAGACCGAUAGCGCACAAGUAGAGUGAUCGAAAGAUGAAAAGCACUUUGAAAAGAGGGUUAAAUAGUACGUGAAAUUGUUGAAAGGGAAGCGCUUGUGACCAGACUUGUGCCCGGCUGAUCAUCCAGUGUUCUCACUGGUGCACUCUGCCGGGCUCAGGCCAGCGUCGGUUCUCGCAGGGGGACAAAAGCUUCGGGAACGUAGCUCCUCCGGGAGUGUUAUAGCCCGUUGCUCAAUACCCCUGCGGGGACCGA